UUAAUGGACCAAAAAUAAUGUAAAUUAAUUAUUAUAUCACGUUGUCAAAUAAAACUUUCAGAUUACCUGAAAAAUCAAUAGCAUAAGAAGUGUGACUAAACCAUCAAGUUUGGAGCUAAUUAUCACAUAUAUUGUACUUAUGUGUUACAGCUAAUAAAUAUGUUUAAAAUGUGUUACAAAAAAGAAAAAUACCUUAAAAAUUGACUACAUUGUUUUUAAUGUUAGGAAGUGUUUGCUGAUUUAAUCAAGUAUUUUCUUGAAGUAAACUUUUAAUUUUUGUUUUCAAUUUGGUACAAUCUUACUCAUUAGAAUCCAAAAUAAUAUUUUUAUUGUUUAUAUUAACCUUAUAUUACCUUUUGUGAAUAUUUAUAAUUAACCUUCAUAAUCAGACAUUUGAGAAUAUGUUUUUUUUUUUUAAUAAACAAAACAGCAUAAUUUAUCACUAUGAAUGAGGGGCCCCAUUUACUGUUAAUCGCUCACUUUUGCUUGAACAGAGAAGUAGUUUUUUUGAUCCCCAAAAGGUAAUUUAGUAGUUAAUCUUUCUCUUUACCCUAUUUGCUUUGAUUUUUUGUUUAAAUAAUGUCAGUGUUAUGAUUUGAAAGGUUGCCACCACUGAAGAGACCAGGAAAGAUCGCAUCAUUUCAGGACAUUUCACCAAGUUUGGAGGCAGAUAGGUCACUUUGCUGUUUCUUCAAGUAUGAUAGCCAGCUAAGUAAGUUACCUUUCUACAAGCUGAUGGGUAACAUUCCAAAGUCAAGACUGAAACCCUAACAGGACUGACUUUAAAUACUUUUUUUAUAUGAGUUGUAUUUUAGUGAUUGUUUUUAAUUAAUGACAUCUCGUUUGGGAGAGUCAUGGGUGAGAUUAGGUUAAGGAUCUCUGUGCCAGGCCAUGCAGAGGAGAACAGUUGUGCAGCCUGUGGUCCCCAUCAAAUGUUACUGCAGAGUGUGUGCUAGACUUCGAAUCACGAAGGCUACAUGCAUUUUGUGAGGAAGCUUUUGAGUGCUGCAUCAUUUUCUUAACACAGAGUUUCUCAUACCCAGAUAGUCCACUUGCCUUCUGUCAGAAAUAGGUGUUCAGUCAAAAUGAAGUUCCUGAAAUUCUCUAAUAGCUGGGAUUUCUGAUGUGUGCCACUACCUGGCUUGGUAGUAUGUUUUGAUCUUUUCUGUAAAAGAGAUUUUUGUGUUUGCUCAAGUGUAUUACUUCCUAGUAUUUUAUAAAUUACGAUGUUCAUAUUCUUGGAAUUGUAACUUCUUGUCUUUGGAGGAAAAAUACGAAUUUUUUAAUAUUGUAGAUCAGUUUUGUAUUUUGAAUAUUUUAUCUAUUCCUUGAAUAUUAGAGUUCCUUCACCAUGUCAUAAAAUCAGAGUAAAGUUGAAAUAGACUUUCUUAGUUUCACUGGCAAACAUCAGGUUGGAAGUCUUUUUUAGAAAUCUACCUUAAUCUCUUAAAUGUGAGAGUUCUGAGUUUUCUCUAUUUUUAUAAAAAGAGUAUAGUUCCAAUGUAAAAACAUUAUUGCAUGAAAAAUAAUUUGUUUCAAUGGAAAUUUUUGGUUUCUCACAUUAAAUAAAUUGACGCAGCAAAAUACCAGUACAUCUUCCAACUUUUUAAAUAUUGGAGACUGGCAUGAUGGCAUAUACCUGUAAUUCCAGCACUUGGGAGGCUGAGGCAGGAGGAUUGCAGUAAGUUCAAAGCCAGCCUGGGCUACAAAGUGAGUUCAAGGCCAACCUGAACUGCAUAGUGAAAACCUGCCUCAAAACAAAACAAACAACAAAUUAAAUAUCAGAGAUAUUUAAGAAAAUUUUAUUAAGAUUUCUAUUUCUCAUUCAUGACUCCUUAAAAAAUUUUUAUUAAGCGGUUUUUGUGUCUCAUACAUGACUCCUACAGUUUUAACUACGUACCUGUAAUUACAGGAAGUUGCAUUAUCCAUGCAUGAAUUGCUUGGAGGAGCUUUUAAAUAGCUGCCUACACUUAAUUUUAUCAUAAUAUAUGUAAAAUCAGUAGGGAACAUGACACCCGCUCCCCCCCAAAAAUCUAUUUGAAGCAUAAUUAUGUAAACCUUUUGUUUUGCUACUUGAGUUUUGUGGUGUGGAUAAGGCCUAUCACUGUUAACGCAAAGGGCUCUAUCAUUGAGUCACACCCCAGACCAGUUAUAGUAAGACAAGUUUUGUUGCUUAAGUUUACUUACAUUCAUGAAAUACUUCUGAUUCUAUUUACCUUAUGACUUGGAUCAUUAAUAUUAGAAACGGCUAAUAAUUAAGUUUUUAUAAAAAUAAUGUUGGCUUACCCAGGCAUAGUGGUACACCCUCUAUAAUCCCAACUACUAGGGAGGUUGAAGCAGGAAGAUUGCAAUGCUGCAAGUUUGAGUCUAGCUUCUCAAAAUUAAAAAAAAAAAAGAGGGGAGUGAUGGAUAUAACAUAGUACUCUCAGUUUCAGUCCCCAGUAAUUUUAAUGGUAAUGAGUUUGCACAUCUGCCUUUCCCAGGUUGUAUUUAAGUAUGUGCAUUCUUAACUGGUUCCCACCCUAAAUUUACCAGUCCAAUUUCUUACCUACAUCCUUUCUUUUUCUCUCCAUCCAGCUCUACACAUCUAUUUUAGUAAGUCUUUUUUGGGAAUUUUGAUGUCCAAUUCUAGUUAAAAACCAGUGUUGCAAGGAGGUGUGACAAUGGAGAAUCAUUAGUCUUUCUGCAGUGACAGGGAAUAGGGCUCUCUGCCACUCCAGAUACUUCUGCUCUGCAUGCUUAUACUUACAAGAAAACAUUGAUGUAUUGUCUUAAAAGUUUUCAUUUUUGGGGAACUUGAAUAUGAUUGUUUUGGAGCUCUUGUUAUGUGCACAUGAAUAUAUGAUUUCUUUAUGUGACAAGAUUCCAAAUUAGUGAAGUCAUUUACUCAGUUCUAGUUCCCUCUUCAUCCAAUUACAUGAAAAUCUCAUAGUUGACUUAGAAGAUGUCCUGUUUUCCCCAUGGUGCCUUAGUUUAGACUUCAUUAAUUUUUCCUCUACAUUGUAUUUGCUGAGUUAAGGUUCUACGUUGUUUGAGGUUUCAUGAAGUUGUGUGAACCAAUCAUCAUUCUCUGAAAAAUGCUUAAUCAUGCAUGGAGACCCACAGGAAAUAUUAAAAUUGAAAAAUCUUAAACCUUUUAAUGGACUUUAUGGUAGAAUGUGGACUGUGUGAAAUCAAGCCCAGAUAAUCCUUUUUUCAAGAACCUGACUCAGUACUAGACUUCAUGAAGUCUUUCCAGGACGCCUUCAUAUGUAGGUAAAGAUCAGAAUCACUUAGGGUGCUUUGGAAAUACACAUUUCCCUGUCGCCUUAAAGACUUACUGGAUUAGAAACAUCAGAUUUUAAAUGUUGGCCUUUAUCUGUAUUUAAAAAAAAAAACCACAAGAGAUUCUGAUACAUACCCCCUUACUUCUAGAGCAGAAAAUGUUCAAGAUUGAUAAGAUUUCUUCAGAUGUUUUAAAUACAUAGUUGAGAGCACAUCGAGUUUGUUAGUUAUUUUCUGUUGGUUUUAACUGUGUAGUAGAAUAGAGCAGUAUUCUCACUCAGUGAACUUUAAAAAUGUAAUUUACUUUUAAAAAGUAAUUUAAUCUGAGUUAGGUAAAGAAAAUCACAGUUAGGCCUGGUCUGAGCCAUGGACUGGACACAGGUUUUUUCUGCUGCAAUAGGCAUUAAUCUGUAAAUGUUGGUUGUGGAGAGGUCCUCAGUUUGCUUGGAGGAGAUGCGGCAAGGCAAUUCAUAAGCUGGUACUGUUUUGUUUAUUUUUUAUAGCAAAGAAUAUUUUGGUACCAAUGCAUGUAACAGUCCUACAAGAAAAUGGUGAUGAUUAAGUAUGAUAGUUUGAACUGCUUUAUUUAGUUCGUAUGGACAGUUUUGUUUCAUUGUGCUCUAAGUCACUGCUGGGACUUAGACAAAAUUCAUAGAAAAUGGAGCAUAGAGUUUUCAUGUAUUUCUUAAUUCAUGUUUCUUAGUUUUAUUUCACAUAAUUCUUAGUUUUGUUUGCCAUUAGCCUUCUGGUGUUUGACACACGCAUUGUAUUUGGGUUUUUCACAAUGAGGAGAGAAGAGACUAGUGGGAGGAAAAACUGGAAAGAUGGAUUUGAACAUCCUUAUAAAGCAAAAAUAGGCAAUGGAGCGUUUAGACUUAAUUAUUACUUCUACCUCUGGAGAACCUGUGAGCAGGAGCACCAAAGCUUAAUUAGAUCUUGGAACUGUGGUUUGCAACCUUUUUUUUUUUUUUUUUAAAUAGCAGAAUUCACAAAGUCUAGAUAUAGUCCCCACAUCUAAUCAUAUAAUACAGACAAACUGGCAUUUAUAAGUACAAGUCUGUUACGUUAGCUCAAGAAGGUAUUCAGUGAAAAUACGGAGGCUAAAUGUUAGGUAUUUUGUUCAGUACAAUAGCUUGAAAUUGGUAGGUGAAAGAUAAAAAUUAGUCUUAUAUUUCUUAGUCUCUUGUUCUAUAUUUUGUUAAUCAUAAUGAAAAUCAUGUUUCACAUUGAUAAGUUGUGCAUUUAUUCAGUUCUGAGUACUUGUGCAUGUAAAUAAAGAUUAUUGCAGAUUCACUUUCUUCCAAAAAAAAUCAUUAAUAUGUGCAGUGGUUACUGAAGUUUUUUGAGGGCUGAAUGAAAAUAACACAGAUUAAGUAUGUUGGCAUUAACAAAAAAAUGCAUACUGGUUUGUGUUUGGUGAUUUAGUAAAUACAGAAAAAUAGUUAUUAUCAAAUCAAGCAUUUGGCGUAAUCCUGAAGCAUUUCUAGAGCACUAAUUAAUGUUUUUAAACUACUGGCAAAGAAGGCUUCUCUGUAGGAUGGAAUUUACCGGUACACAAUUUAAGGAAACUGGGUAGAGAUUUUUCAUUUGAACCACAAAACACAGAAAAUUCCAUGACUAUUUGCCAUUAUCCCAAAGAUAGUACAUAAUAGGUGCUAUUCCUUUCAUAAAGUAGGUGUCUUAGUUCAUCAGUGCUUACUUCUGGAACCCAAGCUGAGAAACCUAGGAAAAUGAGGCAUCUUUAUAAAGGAACUAUUAAUUAUGAAAAUGUCAGAUGCCUAUAAUCAAACAAGUACAGUUUUCAAGAUAGUGGAUGUUAUUGCUAUAUUGUUCUCCACAACGCUGAGCUCCAAGGCAAUUUUAUGACUGAAAAUGGAGAAUUUUUCAUAAUGCUGCCUAAAAAUAAGAAGGAAA
Cavia porcellus (domestic guinea pig) is the source of this 5178-nucleotide long non-coding RNA. RefSeq lists it as uncharacterized. The transcript is spliced from 2 exons. Lineage: Eukaryota; Metazoa; Chordata; Mammalia; Rodentia; Caviidae. The record is from RefSeq and is a predicted model, not a curated record.